Molecule: unclassified non-coding RNA, 388 nt
Filed under: Eucalyptus baileyana
Lineage: Eukaryota; Viridiplantae; Streptophyta; Magnoliopsida; Myrtales; Myrtaceae
Description: partial external transcribed spacer
Source: RNAcentral
CUUCCCUCACAUUCGAUCAAUUGUUGCUCCACGAGCUAAACGUUGGAUGCAAGACCCGGGUUCCUGUGUUGCAUACCUAUUGCGACGGAAAUGUGUGCCUUCGAUCGUCCCUUCCAUCACGGCAUCCUCUCGGAUGCUCGGUUGGACCGGAUAGUGGGGCUCGUGUUCCACGAACGUCGUCUCAUUCGAUCGUUCGGAUGGACCACGAGUGCCUACUCGUUCUCUCGGAUGCGGAACUCUCUUAAUGGGUGUGGGGUCAUUGGCCCUUGUUCCCUAAUCGUUAAGCGUUUAUCGCUUCACCGGAAUGACGAUCUUGCCUUGUCCUUGAUCACGCGAAGCCCUCGGGCAUCGCGAUGUAUCAUGCUCGGCGGACGUCGUGAAGGAAUGC